UCUGUUUCACCUUCUUCCCACCAACUCUGCUUGUGGGCCAGAUGUGGCCUGUCGGCCACAGUUACCAACCUGCGAUCCAUCUCCUCAGGAAGCUGCCCACUGAAUCAAGUAGCUGUUUUAAAGCAUGGGCUGAAUGAUAGGGGUUUUUACGCUUAUAUGCAGGGUUCCAUGUUUAGAACACUGUGGUUUACACUGACCUGCAGGAAAUGUUGUUUUGGCCUGUAAUUCCUAAGUAUUUCUGAAAUGUUCUUCCGUCCCCUUCUUCCCCCAAGCCUCAUGCUGGGACAAGGUGGAAAAAACAGACCUUGCCCCCAGGGUGCUCAUGGUCCAGGAAAUGUGCUUCUCUCUGGCUGUUAAGUCUGGGAGAGACUCGUCUGUGAUGGUGAGCUAAAGCCAGGAGAGACAGCACCACACACUGAAUGUACCAGCAGGUGCCGACUGAUGCUCACUGAUGACUGGGAAAGGCUUUGUGAAAUGAAGUCCAUUAUUUCCAAAGUAGGUGGAACGAUUGUAAGUAGUCACUAAAACUUAGAUUGGAUAAUUUAACAAAAUGUUAGCAAACUUAUUUUAGUUGAUAAUGUGUUUGGUAACUCAGAACUUAUUGCAUAUUAUGAGAAUUAAGUCACUUUUUACUGACUGAUAACUACAUCAGGGAGGCUGACACAUGAGUUAGGAAUUUUUAUUGUAGAGAAAGGUAAAGGGUAAAUCCUGCUAACACAAGCAUCAUUACACAGGGACUCAGUGGCCUCCGGUACCAACGUAAGAGAAGCAAGGAAUAUGAUGCCUAAUGAGAUGGGAGUUUAUACCCCUUUCAGAGAUCUGUGGUCCUAUGACUCGUUUACAUUUAAUGUACAUAAUGUUUUAUGGGAUGAUUAAAACCCACAAUAGACUGCUAGGGAGCAGUAGACUGGCAUUUGACUUCAGAAGAUCAGUUCCUGAUGGAGAGUGGUCCUCUGGCUCCACUCGGCACUGCUGGUCUCCAGGAUUUACCUGUGACUUCCUCCAGAAUUGUCAUUGGUUAUUUCCACUCUAUUUUAGGUUCAAGACUACUGUUAUUGAUGUGUAGUCCCACUGCAGUGCAUUUGAAGAAAGGUAAGUGCUGUCUACCUUCUUACAGAUGGCACAAAGCGGCAAGAGAGUACUCCCUUCUCCUCUUGGACUCAGGGUCAGAGGAAAAGUGUCCUUUCCUUCCCACUGGUGGCUUGGCUCUUGUUAAUGCGCCAUCCUGCAGGUUUAAAGGUGUCUUCACUCAUUUCUGUUGAUACUUCCAUACAGUUUGGAAACGCCUUAGACAACUGUGAGAGCCACAAGCUUCAAGCACUCCGGGGAUCAGACGUGAUUUGAAAAGGCAGGUUUCCUUUUCCUGGCCAGCUGCUGACCUGAUACUCACCUAUGGUGUUGGGGUCGGUCCUGCUCCACGGCUGGAAGCCUCUCAUUUAUUCUGUAGCCUGUCCGUUGACUGGAAUGGAUGAAAACCUUCAAAACAGAAACCUGCUUAAGCAUUCGGGAGCCCGAGUUUGGCUAGGUUGGAGAUGGCAAACAUGGAGCACUUGCUCCCAUGGAUGUGAUCGUUCUGAGAAGUCACGUUCCGUAGAGCCGGGGCAGUCGGGUCUGCAGCCGUUCAUGUGAUGUCCGUAUUGGCUCAUGAAUCCCUGUGUGCCGUUUAGCUGUUACCCGAGUUGGAGGACUGACUUCUGACUGAAUUUCACUCACUCCAAUGAGAUGGUAAGAACAGAGCCUGCGCCAGGCAUAGUACCCAGCAUGGCCCGCCAGGGCUAAGUCUUGUUCGUGAUACUGGCAAAGCUGGCAGGGGUGCCACAGCUCAUGCUGUCUGCUCUGGUAACUGUUGGUUUUGUACAUUUCACAAGCAGCCAUCUUUUGUGAGGUUACUUUUGUCUGAAACCUUCCUACGGCCAGUGGCCCGGUGGGUACCCGUGAGCGACGCUCGGUGGAACGCGGAGACUGAGGAUGUGUGAGAGCAGCAUGUGUCGAGCCUGAGGCUGGGGUGCUGACCCGGAUCAAUCUUCUGUGCAGACCCAGCUGAAAGAGUCAAGAAAUCUCAUCUCUGGGAGAAGCAGCCAUCAAGGCUGCUGAGACAGAGGGGAAGGGCCAGUGCCCCUCAGGUGCCUGCCCCGACCCUGUCUGAAUGGCUGGGCCUAUUCUCUGAAUUCUUGGGCAUCCAGGACCAUGGCUGCUGCCUCCCAAAUCCUGACACUCAAGUGAAGCCUGGCUCCCCUCUGACAGCAAGGAGUCAGCUGUGGAAGCUCGAGGCUCUGGCAGGGAUGGGCCCUUCUUUGUCCUACCCUCCCCGGCUCGUCACAUCUGCGUGUGGAAGCAGCUUCUUCCUGAGUCGAGAGAGGCCUUCUGCUGCAGGUCCAAGCAGCAACAUCCCCUUGCUGCCGCCAGGAACCGUAGUGAGCCCGCGAAAGGCUGAUGCGUGUGGUGUGUCCAUGGCGCCCGAGAAACCUGCUCACCUUCUCCAGGGUCUGCACGAACUGCUCCACGGGGAUGGAGCCGCUCAACAAAGGCUUCAGGACUUUGCAGUCCGGGACAUCAUCGCUCACCCGCUUUCUCUUCUUCCCGCUUGUGGGCUGGGUGGGCCGAGGAGGGGGCUGGAGCAGAAGGAAAGAGUGGCUCUCAUGAGCUUCCUCUAAGCAACAGGAGCCACCGCAAGCCACACAGGGAGCCUGACUAUCCCACCCUCACAGGCCCCGGCCCGGCUUCCUCAGCCGGCACUCGGUUCAGGUUCCCUGGCUGCUGGGGGCCCCAGAUCCACGUGCUCAACUGUCCACCCAACCAACACCUUUAUUCACUGAGCUCUCUGCCUUCUAUCAAGAUCCAUUUUUAAACCUUCAGGUGAUUUCACUGCAGUAUCUGCUGAAUAAAUUUUCCACAUUA
This is a non-coding RNA of Saimiri boliviensis boliviensis (Bolivian squirrel monkey), 2898 nucleotides long. Lineage: Eukaryota; Metazoa; Chordata; Mammalia; Primates; Cebidae. The record is from RefSeq and is a predicted model, not a curated record.